AUGCUCUUGUAGCUCAUAAGAAUGGUGACUGGGUGUUCACACGCAUAUGAGAUGUGCCUCCCUCAAACCUUGUUAAGACAUGGGCACAUACCCAUCUGAUG
Pongo abelii (Sumatran orangutan) is the source of this 101-nucleotide small nucleolar RNA. NCBI's taxonomy places the organism in Eukaryota, Metazoa, Chordata, Mammalia, Primates, Hominidae. The record is from Ensembl.